Molecule: ribosomal RNA, 534 nt
Filed under: uncultured bacterium
Lineage: Bacteria
Description: bacterial SSU rRNA
Rfam family: Bacterial small subunit ribosomal RNA
Source: RNAcentral
AGUUUUCGGACUAAGAGACCGGCGCACGGGUGCGUAACGCGUAUGCAAUCUACCUUUUACAGAGGGAUAGCCCAGAGAAAUUUGGAUUAAUACCUCAUAGUAUAAUGACUCGGCAUCGAGAUAUUAUUAAAGUCACAACGGUAAAAGAUGAGCAUGCGUCCCAUUAGCUAGUUGGUAAGGUAACGGCUUACCAAGGCUACGAUGGGUAGGGGUCCUGAGAGGGAGAUCCCCCACACUGGUACUGAGACACGGACCAGACUCCUACGGGAGGCAGCAGUGAGGAAUAUUGGACAAUGGGCGCAAGCCUGAUCCAGCCAUGCCGCGUGCAGGAUGACGGUCCUAUGGAUUGUAAACUGCUUUUAUACGAGAAGAAACACUGCUUCGUGAAGCAGCUUGACGGUAUCGUAAGAAUAAGGAUCGGCUAACUCCGUGCCAGCAGCCGCGGUAAUACGGAGGAUCCAAGCGUUAUCCGGAAUCAUUGGGUUUAAAGGGUCCGUAGGCGGUUUAAUAAGUCAGUGGAGAAAGCCCAUCGCU